GCAGAUUCUUGGGCCAUUUCCAGCCUCAACAAGGCAAACCUCCUCUUGUGGAAGUUGGACUGAGAUCAGCAUUACAAUAUUGGCCGCCAAGGAACUCUAAGUGAAGAAACUGGAAGACUGAUGCAGAAGCAAAGCAUUUCAAGAAAAAUUUCCUCCAACUGAGGGCAAGAAGGGGCCUACACCACUGACAGCCAUUGCCAUGCAGAAACGGUCUGCUGUUGUGAUGGCCGAAGGAAGAGCAAGGAGGGGGAGGAGGGAUGGCAGAGGAGGUUAACAUCUAUAGCUUUUAUUAUGAAGCUAAGCUUCUAGACACACAUCUGAUCUGGUAGUUAUUUGUAUGAGUUGACAAGACAUUCGACAUGAAGCUAUUAGAAUACACCCCGUUCGACUGUGUAAAUGUGUUCUUUGAUCAACCAAACCUUGGUGAAUGUACAAUCAGGGGGAGCCUUGAUGCCUUCUCAUGUAAGAGUAAGAUCCACAAAAUUUUGAUAACUUGAGUCCAUUACAUCAUGACAAUAGGGUCAAGCUCCACUUUAAUUUGCAGGCAAAGCAUGCAGGAAAUGAUUGUUGGCUUUCAAUAAGCUUUGAAUAUGAGAUACAUACUUUCCAUCAGCCUAUGAUUUACGACAACUGCUUUUCUUUUAGCGCUGAUGUUGAUAAGUAGGCAUUCACGUGUUAGUUAUAUAUAGUUCGUAUUACCAAAUAUGUAGUUCAUGACUUGUUCUCAUUGACGUGAUAUUUCGAGUUCUAGUUGACAUAUCUUGGAUACAGUUAUACGAAACGAGGAAUUAUAGGGUGCGUUGCAAAACAAAUGUUUAAUAUAUCCAAAACAACAAAAAGUAUUUAAACCUAUAUAUACCAUCCAAUGCAUUUUAUAGUUAUCCGUAUUGCCAGAUAAUUCUCAAUUCGAUCCCUAACAAAGCUGUAGUAGCCAUUUAUUUGCGACAUAUGAAUAUGCAUCGAACCAUAGUCAGUCGUUUAAAACCCUCAAUGCCGCUCUAAUUUCAGCCGGUAUGUUUCCAGCUGCUUCAUUGUUUUUUAUCGUCAGCAUCUGGACCAACAGGUUCUUUCUGAGCUGUAUUGAAUCCUAGAAAAGAUGGAAAAAUAGUAAUUUAUAAAUUGCUGGAAAAAAUCGCACGAUAAACCUCGUUAUUGUGUACUUACGUGAGUGGUCUUCCUACCAGAAUCAGUAGUACCAUUCUGGUGGGCCAUCUCCUGUAGGACAAGGAAAGCGGAGUCUUUGCUGUUACAAAAAAAAGAAA
Non-coding RNA from Aegilops tauschii subsp. strangulata, 1262 nucleotides. The record is from RefSeq and is a predicted model, not a curated record. Lineage: Eukaryota; Viridiplantae; Streptophyta; Magnoliopsida; Poales; Poaceae.